This 545-nucleotide ribosomal RNA is filed under the name uncultured bacterium. RNAcentral describes it as "bacterial SSU rRNA". It matches the Rfam family "Bacterial small subunit ribosomal RNA", at positions 224 to 783 of the family's 1533-position model. The record is from RNAcentral.
GAGAACUUUGCGUCCCAUUAGCUAGUUGGUGAGGUAACGGCUCACCAAGGCGACUAUGGGUAGCCGGCCUGAGAGGGUGAACGGCCACAAGGGGACUGAGACACGGCCCUUACUCCUACGGGAGGCAGCAGUGGGGAAUAUUGGACAAUGGGCCACGAGCCUGAUCCAGCAAUCCUGUGUGCAUGAUGAAGGUCUUCGGAUUGUAAAGUGCUUUCAGUUGGGAAGAAGAAAGUGACGGUACCAACAGAAGAAGCGACGGCUAAAUAUGUGCCAGCAGCCGCGGUAAUACAUAUGUCGCAAGCGUUAUCCGGAUUUAUUGGGCGUAAAGCGCGUCUAGGCGGUUUGCUAAGUGUGAUGUGAAAAUGCGGGGCUCAACUCCGUAUUGCGUUGGAAACUGGCAGACUAGAGUAUUGGAGAGGUGGGCGGAACUACAAGUGUAGAGGUGGAAUUCGUAGAUAUUCGUAGGAAUGCCGAUAGAGAAGUCAGCUCACUGGACAGAUACUGACGCUGAAGCGCGAAAGCGUGGGGAGCAAACAGGAUUAGAU